UAAAAGCUACGCUAGGGAUAACAGGCUUAUACGCCCAUAGAGCAUUAUCAACGGGCGUGUUUGGCACCUCGAUGUUGGAUCAUCGCAUCCUUGAGCUGCAGAAGGUUCAAAGGGUCGGACUGUUCGUCCGGGAACGCGGUACGUGAUCUGAGUUCAAAGCGUCGUGAGACAGUUUGGUUUCUAUCUUUGUGCGUAAAUAAAAUAAGGGGUUUCAUACCGUACGAAAGGAUUGAUGUG
This 237-nucleotide ribosomal RNA is filed under the name Polytomella parva. Its description in RNAcentral is "partial Bacterial large subunit ribosomal RNA". It matches the Rfam family "Bacterial large subunit ribosomal RNA", at positions 2457 to 2699 of the family's 2925-position model. Lineage: Eukaryota; Viridiplantae; Chlorophyta; Chlorophyceae; Chlamydomonadales; Chlamydomonadaceae. The record is from RNAcentral.